This 372-nucleotide ribosomal RNA is filed under the name uncultured Desulfobulbus sp. RNAcentral's name for it is "bacterial SSU rRNA". It matches the Rfam family "Bacterial small subunit ribosomal RNA", at positions 1012 to 1382 of the family's 1533-position model. Lineage: Bacteria; Pseudomonadati; Thermodesulfobacteriota; Desulfobulbia; Desulfobulbales; Desulfobulbaceae. The record is from RNAcentral.
UGCUUCCAUCUGGAAGAAUCUGGAGACAGGUGCUGCAUGGCUGUCGUCAGCUCGUGUCGUGAGAUGUGGGUUAAGUCCCGCAACGAGCGCAACCCUUGCCUUUAGUUGCCAGCAGUUCGGCUGGGCACUCUAAAGGGACUGCCGGUGUUAAACCGGAGGAAGGUGGGGAUGACGUCAAGUCCUCAUGGCCUUUAUGACCAGGGCUACACACGUACUACAAUGGCCGAUACAAAGGGCAGCGACACUGCGAGGUGAAGCCAAUCCCGUAAAAUCGGUCUCAGUCCGGAUUGGAGUCUGCAACUCGACUCCAUGAAGUUGGAAUCGCUAGUAAUCGUGGAUCAGCAUGCCACGGUGAAUACGUUCCCGGGCCUU